AAAUUACCCACUCCCGGCACGGGGAGGUAGUGACGAAAAAUAACGAUACGGGACUCAUCCGAGGCCCCGUAAUCGGAAUGAGUACACUUUAAAUCCUUUAACGAGGAUCAAUUGGAGGGUAAGUCUGGUGCCAGCAGCCGCGGUAAUUCCAGCUCCAAUAGCGUAUAUUAAAGUUGUUGCGGUUAAAAAGCUCGUAGUCGAAUCUGUGUCUCGCGCCGCUGGUUCAUCGCUCGCGGUGUUCAACUGGCGUGUUUCGCGGGACGUCCUGCCGGUGGGCGCACGUAUCGUUUCGGCGGUGCGUGGUCCUACUCGUAUCCGUCUAGCGCGGUUGCGAGUCCUGUCGCGGUGCUCUUUAUUGAGUGUCGAGGUAGGCCGGCACAUUUACUUUGAACAAAUUAGAGUGCUCAAAGCAGGCCAAUUUUGCCUGAAUAUUCUGUGCAUGGAAUAAUGGAAAAGGACCUCGGUUCUAUUUUGUUGGUUUUCGGAACCCCGAGGUAAUGAUUAAUAGGAACGGAUGGGGGCAUUCGUAUUGCAACGUUAGAGGUGAAAUUCUUGGAUCGUUGCAAGACGGACUAAAGCGAAAGCAUUUGCCAAAAACGCUUUCAUUGAUCAAGAACGAAAGUUAGAGGCUCGAAGGCGAUCAGAUACCGCCCUAGUUCUAACCAUAAACGAUGCCAGCUAGCGAUCUGCCGACGUUCCUCCGAUGACUCGGCGGGCAGCUUCCGGGAAACCAAAGCUUUUGGGUUCCGGGGGAAGUAUGGUUGCAAAGCUGAAACUUAAAGGAAUUGACGGAAGGGCACCACCAGGAGUGGAGCCUGCGGCUUAAUUUGACUCAACACGGGAAACUUCACCAGGCCCUGACACCGGAAGGAUUGACAGAUUGAGAGCUCUUUCUUGAUUCGGUGGGUGGUGGUGCAUGGCCGUCUUAG
Molecule: ribosomal RNA, 929 nt
Filed under: Doryloxenus sp. JP-2017
Lineage: Eukaryota; Metazoa; Arthropoda; Insecta; Coleoptera; Staphylinidae
Description: bacterial SSU rRNA
Rfam family: Eukaryotic small subunit ribosomal RNA
Source: RNAcentral